Molecule: ribosomal RNA, 253 nt
Filed under: uncultured Pelagibacterales bacterium
Lineage: Bacteria; Pseudomonadati; Pseudomonadota; Alphaproteobacteria; Candidatus Pelagibacterales
Description: partial 16S ribosomal RNA
Rfam family: Bacterial small subunit ribosomal RNA
Source: RNAcentral
UACGAAGGGACCUAGCGUAGUUCGGAAUUACUGGGCUUAAAGAGUUCGUAGGUGGUUGAAAAAGUUGGUGGUGAAAUCCCAGAGCUUAACUCUGGAACUGCCAUCAAAACUUUUUAGCUAGAGUAUGAUAGAGGAAAGCAGAAUUUCUAGUGUAGAGGUGAAAUUCGUAGAUAUUAGAAAGAAUACCAAUUGCGAAGGCAGCUUUCUGGAUCAUUACUGACACUGAGGAACGAAAGCAUGGGUAGCGAAGAGG